UGGGGAAUAUUGGACAAUGGAGGGAACUCUGAUCCAGCAAUUCUGUGUGUGUGAAGAAGGUUUUAGGACUGUAAAACACUUUUAGAAGGGAAGAAAAAAAUGACGUUACCUACAGAAGAAGCAAUGGCUAAAUACGUGCCAGCAGCCGCGGUAAUACGUAUGUUGCGAGCGUUAUCCGGAAUUAUUGGGCUUAAAGGGCAUCUAGGCGGUAAGACAAGUUGAAGGUGAAAACCUGUGGCUCAACCAUAGGCUUGCCUACAAAACUGUUGAACUAGAGUACUGGAAAGGUGGGUGGGACUAAACGAGUGGAGGUGAAAUUCGUAGAUAUGUGUAGGAAUGCCGAUGAUGAAGAAAGCUCACUGGACAGAAACUGACGCUGAAGUGCGAAAGCUAGGGGAGCAAACAGG
This 407-nucleotide ribosomal RNA is filed under the name Verrucomicrobiota bacterium. Its description in RNAcentral is "Verrucomicrobia bacterium partial 16S ribosomal RNA". It matches the Rfam family "Bacterial small subunit ribosomal RNA", at positions 355 to 776 of the family's 1533-position model. Lineage: Bacteria; Pseudomonadati; Verrucomicrobiota. The record is from RNAcentral.